RNAcentral lists this ribosomal RNA (183 nucleotides) under Giardia duodenalis. RNAcentral's name for it is "Giardia intestinalis partial 18S ribosomal RNA". It matches the Rfam family "Eukaryotic small subunit ribosomal RNA", at positions 1599 to 1812 of the family's 1831-position model. The record is from RNAcentral. Lineage: Eukaryota; Fornicata; Diplomonadida; Hexamitidae.
GCGCACCAGGAAUGUCUUGUAGGCGCGCGCCCCCACCGCGCGCCGGACGCGUCCCUGCCCCUUGUACACACCGCCCGUCGCUCCUACCGACUGGGCGCGGCGGCGAGCGCCCCGGACGCGCGAAGGGCCGCGAGCCCCCGCGCCUGGAGGAAGGAGAAGUCGUAACAAGGUAUCCGUAGGUGA